This 524-nucleotide ribosomal RNA is filed under the name uncultured bacterium. RNAcentral describes it as "bacterial SSU rRNA". It matches the Rfam family "Bacterial small subunit ribosomal RNA", at positions 8 to 526 of the family's 1533-position model. The record is from RNAcentral.
AGAGUUUGAUCCUGCUCAGAUUGAACGCUGGCGGAAUGCUUUACACAUGCAAGUCGAACGGCAGCACGGGAGCUUGCUCCUGGUGGCGAGUGGCGAACGGGUGAGUAAUAUAUCGGAACAUAUCCUAUCGUGGGGGAUAACUAGUCGAAAGACUAGCUAAUACCGCAUACGUCCUGAGGGAGGAAGCGGGGGCUCGCAAGACCUCGCGCGAUUGGAGUGGCCGAUAUCUGAUUAGCUAGAUGGUGAGGUAAAGGCUCACCAUGGCUUCGAUCAGUAGCUGGUCUGAGAGGAUGAUCAGCCACACUGGGACUGAGACACGGCCCAGACUCCUACGGGAGGCAGCAGUGGGGAAUUUUGGACAAUGGGCGAAAGCCUGAUCCAGCCAUUCCGCGUGAGUGAGGAAGGCCUUCGGGUUGUAAAGCUCUUUCGGCAGGAACGAAACGGCGGAUAUUAAUACUAUCCGUUACUGACGGUACCUGAAGAAGAAGCACCGGCUAACUACGUGCCAGCAGCCGCGGUAAUAC